CAGAACUAUGACUUUGGCAGAUUGAGUCUUUGUUCUCGUUUUUGGCAGGUGCUGCUGCCUACAUCUGGGUUCCAAGGCCUGAAUGGUAACUCCAUCAUGGCAUCAGUUGUGCUAAGGUCUAGGGGCCUGUUUUAUGACAGAAACCUUUUCUCCAUGAAGGUGCAUUGGCAGUUGAGUAGUGGCAUGGAGAAUAGAGGCAUCAUGAUUACAUUAUGGAUGGAUCGAGGUGACAGAAAGACGAGACUUCCCUCUCCACCAAGACUACAGGCAGCAAGCAGCAAGCACAAGAAGAGAUCUCCUUGAGAAGUUUCCUAUGCUUUGUGCUGGUAGCGGUGUUGGGAAGGAGGCCUGGAUCCUGCUUUAACCAGUUUUCAUCCAUCCCUGCUCAUUCAGUCUUUGCAGUCUACCACUGGUUUGCAUGAAGAGUUAGAAAGAAUUCCAGAAACCGUCUAGUUGCUACUUCUCUGGGACAUUGGAACACAGUGAAGCCUUGGUGAUACAACUUCUCACUUAAACUUAGCAGGGCGAACGUCGGCAAUGUUGGUCUUUCCCCUUUCCAACCACUACUACCAGUAGAAUUCACGGCACUCGGUUAAGCCCCUGUAAAAAACAAGAGAAUUCUCACACUCCAUUGAAACUGCUGCUGCUGAGACAAGGGUGACUGGCCUUGAGAGGACGAUAAAGGAGCCCAGCAGUUUUGAGCACCCUACAACACAAAGCCACUGAGGCUUGGAGUUGUUACUGGGAACAGACUGGACCACGUUGUGUGUCUUCGUACGUGCUGUUCUUGUACUAUUCACCCUGCCUUUCUUCACAUGGUCAACUUCUGUGAAGAUCAGAGCCCCGCCUGCCCCUUUAAACAGCAUGGAAAGUUGCUAAAUGGUACUUCCAUUGUUUGUGAACAGGCAUUCAUUGAUUAUUUAACCAAUUCCAUUGUUCUCCCAUGUAAUUUCCUCAUCUCAGUUCUUGAACACAGUAGGCAGAGCGUGAACAAACACACAGAUCCAUUAUCUGAUAAAUAAAAUGUUACAGGAGUCUAUUAAAUUACCUG
RNAcentral lists this long non-coding RNA (1051 nucleotides) under Cricetulus griseus (Chinese hamster). RNAcentral describes it as "lncRNA (ENSCGRG00015036562.1)". Lineage: Eukaryota; Metazoa; Chordata; Mammalia; Rodentia; Cricetidae. The record is from RNAcentral.